CACAGAUCUGGGGCUGUGGGCGCGAGAAGAUUAGUUGGGACCAAGAGACAUUCCUUAUACGUAUUGUGGCAUCUUUAAAGGAGAGAAUAAACUCUUGAACAAGACCCUUGAAACCUGAUUCUAAUCAGAGGAGAAUGCUGAUGUGACUGAUACAGACUCCAGGGAGGUGGUGCCUGACAUUCAGCUCACUGGAUCUCUGCUCAGAACUUGCCCAGAGGGUUACUUAAAGCUGAGUUUUAUCAGUCAACCUCAAUUCUGAGUUAAAGGUGUGCUUCAAACAAACUCUACAAAACCCAGAAAUGAUUCAAGGAUAAGGGCUAACUUUCCAGGAUCUUCAGGUCCUAGACACCUUCAGGAAAAAAGUCUAUGAAAGGUCAGUAUAAUGGCAGGCAGAGUUUGAAGGACUUCAGUGUUUACAGGAAGGAUGUAUAAUACUUUAGGACCGGGGGAUUCCAGAGAUCUAGAAAUGAAAGCAGAGGAGGAGAGAAGGAAGAUAAUGGCUAUACUACAUCUGGACAAGUUGUUUGAGUGUUGGUAUUGCCAGAGUCAAGGAAAGAAACCCCCUCCAUAGACAAAGCCCC
This 581-nucleotide long non-coding RNA is filed under the name Homo sapiens (human). RNAcentral's name for it is "HSALNT0074601". Lineage: Eukaryota; Metazoa; Chordata; Mammalia; Primates; Hominidae. The record is from RNAcentral.